GGGGGUAUAGCUCAGUGGUGGAGCAUUCGACUGUAGAUCGAAAGGUCCCCGGUUCAAACCCGCGUGCCCUCU
Molecule: transfer RNA, 72 nt
Filed under: Trichonephila inaurata madagascariensis
Lineage: Eukaryota; Metazoa; Arthropoda; Arachnida; Araneae; Nephilidae
Rfam family: tRNA
About the family: Transfer RNA (tRNA) molecules are approximately 80 nucleotides in length.
Source: Rfam by way of RNAcentral